This 1424-nucleotide ribosomal RNA is filed under the name uncultured bacterium. Its description in RNAcentral is "partial 16S ribosomal RNA". It matches the Rfam family "Bacterial small subunit ribosomal RNA". The record is from RNAcentral.
GAUUCGGGGUCUACCUGCAGUCGACGGUUCGUGAUCCGCUUGCUUGCUUGCUGACGAGUGGAGGACGGGUGGAUAAUGUAUGGGACCUGCCUGAUGGACGGGGAUACUACUGGACACUUGGCUCUACCGCUUAACGUCAUAAGACCUUGAUGGGGAGCUUCAGGCCUCUUGGGCUCUUACGUGCCCCGAUGGAAUUAGCUAGUGGGUGGGGUAACGGCUCACGGUGAGGUCUAUCCUCACCUGGACACGAUGCAUAACCACCUGUGAAGGAAUCGCCCACUGGACUUGAAACCGGCCAACUCUCAGGAGCAGCAUGGGGGAAUCUUCGGCAAUGGACUAAGUCGACCGAACAACGCCGCGUGAGUGAAAAAGGUUUCGGAUCGUAAAGACUCUGUUUUGAGAGACAGUUGGUUAGUACUGAACGUCCCUGACGGUUCUACAGAAAGCCACGGCUAACUCGUCCAGCAGCCGCGGUAAUACGAGGUGGCAAGCGUUGUCGGAUUUAUUGGGCGUAAAGCGAGCGCAGGCGGUUUCUUAAUCUGAUGUGAAAGCCCCGGCUAACCGGGAGGUCAUUGGAAACUGGGGCUGAGUCGAAGAGGAGGUGGAAUUCCAUGUGUAGCGGUGAAAUGCGUAGAUAUAGGAGGAACUCCGUGGUGAAGGGCUUGGUUGAAUGACGCUCGGCUCGAAAGCGUGGGAGCAAACAGGAUUAGAUACCUGGUAGUCCACGCCGUAACCGAUGUCGAUAAGUGUUGAGGCCUUCCAGCCUUCAUUCCGCAGCUAACGCGUUAAGCAGUCCGCCUGGGGAGUACGGCCGCAAGGUUAAAACUCAAAUGAAUUGACGGGGGCCCGCACAAGCGGUGGAGCAUGUGGUUUAAUUCGAUGCAACGCGAAGAACCUUACCUAGUCUUGACAUCCAGUGAACUUUCCAGAGAUGGAUUGGUGCCUUCGGGAACAAAAUACAGGUGCUGCAUGGCUGUCGUCAGCUCGUGUUGUGAAAUGUUGGGUUAAGUCCCGCAACGAGCGCAACCCUUUUCCUUAGUUGCCAGCGGUUCGGCUGGGCACUCAAAGGAGACUGCCGGUGACAAACCGGAGGAAGGGGGGGAUGACGUCAAGUCAUCAUGCCCUUAUGGCGUAGGGCUCCCCACGUGCUCCAAUGGAAGAUACAAAGAGAAGCGACCUCGCGAGAGCAAGCGGUCUUCUUAAACUCCUUUCUAGUCCGGAUUCAAGUCUGCAACUCGACUCCAUGAACUCGGAAUCGCUAGUAAUGGGGGAUCAGAAUGCCACGGUGAAUACGUUCCCGGCCUUGGUCCACACGGCCGGUCACACCAUGGAAUUGGGUUCCCAAGGAAGUAGGUAGCUAACCCUUUGGAGGCCGCUGCCCACGGUGGAUUCAUGACUGGGGAAGUCGUAACAAGACCAUGCCC